AUCUGGUUGAUCCUGCCAGUAGUAUGCUUGUCUCAAAAAGAUUUACGCAUGUACGUUCAAGUACAUACUUUUUACAUGCGAAACCGCGAAUGGCCCAUUAAAAUCGUUGGCGGUUCCUUAGAUCGUACAAUCCUACUUGAUAACUGGAAUCAGAGCCAUUACACGAAGCACGGCUCUGACCGCGUGAAAGAGCGCGUUUAUUAGAUCAAAACCGUCGGGUUCGCAAGGGCCCGCCGGAUUGGUGAGACCGAUACCAGCGAUCGCAAUGGCCUGGCGUCGGCGACGUAUUCUUCAAAAUGUUCGCCUUAUCAACUUUCGAUGGCAUGGCGUUUUCCCGGGCGGUUGUAACGGCAACGGGAAUCAGUCUGAUUCCCGGAGAGGGAGCAUGAGAAAUGGCUACCAUCUAAGGAAGGCAGCAGGCGCGCAAAUUACCCACCUGGCACGGGGAGGUGUAGUGACAGGUAAUAACACGGGACCUUUGAGGCCCCAAUUGAAUGAGCACAAUUUAAACCCUUUAACGAGGAUCUAUUGAGGCAAGCUUGCGCCAGCAGCCGCGGUAAUUCCAGCUCCAAUAGCGUAUAUUGUGUUGAAAGUUAAAAAGCUUGUAGUUGGGAUCUCGGGUCCAGGCUUGCGGUCCGACGCCUGUCGGUUACUGCUCGUCCUGACCUUACCUCCCGGUUUUUUCGCCCUUGGUGCCUUUGACUGAGUCCUGUACGAAUGUUUACAUUUUGAAAAAUUAGAGUGUCUAAAUGGCAAUAUCGCUCGAAUAAUGGGUGCAUGAACAAUGGAACAGGGACCCGUCUCUAUUUUUUGCUGGUUUUCGUUUCGAGGUAAUGACGGAGGGACCUGACGGGGGGCAUUCGUAUUACGGUGUUAGAGGUGAAAUUUUGGAUCGCCUAAGAUUUGAACUACGGUGAAAGCGACGGCUGCCGUUUUCAUUAGUCAAGAACGAAAGUCGAGGUCGAACAGAUCAGAUACCGUCGUAGUUCUGACCAUAAACGAUGCCACUGAAGCGAUCCGCCGGAGUUGUUUCAAUGACUCCGAGAGGCCCCCGAAAACCAAAGUUUUGGGGUUCCAAAGUAUGGUUGCAAAGCUGAACUUUAAAGAAUUGGACGGAAGGGCAACCACCAGGGAGUGGAGCCAUGGGUUAAUUUGACCUUUAACACGGGAAAACUCACCCGCGGGACACUGUGGUGAUUGACAGAUUGAGAGCUCUUUCUGAUUGGUGGUGGGGUGGCCGUUCUGCUGGUGGAGCGAUUUGUCCGGUUAAUCUGAUAACGAACGAGACUCUAGGCUGUACUAAAUAGUUCGCCGAUCCCCAUUUGCGUCGGCGCAACUUAGGAGGGACAAGCGGCGUUUAGCCACACGAGAUUGAGCAGCACAAUAGGUCCAGGAUGCCCCAGGAUGUUCGGGGCCGCACGCGCGCCACACUGAAGUGAAUCCAGCGUGUCUCUCGCCCCUGCGGGGAAAGGUCGGGUAACCUGCUGAACCUCCUUUCUUCAAAGUAGGGAUUGGGGCUUGUAUUUCUUCCCAUGAACGAGGAAUCCAGUAAGCGAGUCAUAAGCCGCGUUGAUUACGUCCCUGCCCUUUGGUAAUAAUAACCGCCCGUCGCUACUACCGAUUGGGCGUUUAGUGAGCGCCUCGAUGGACCUGAAAUGGUUGGCAACAACCGUACCGGUGUUUGAAAAGACGCAAACUUGGAACGCCCCAGAGGAAGUAAAAUCGUAAAUAAGGUUUCCGUAGGUGAACCUGCGAAGGAU
Molecule: ribosomal RNA, 1760 nt
Filed under: Mytilus coruscus
Lineage: Eukaryota; Metazoa; Mollusca; Bivalvia; Mytilida; Mytilidae
Description: SSU rRNA
Rfam family: Eukaryotic small subunit ribosomal RNA
Source: RNAcentral